This 354-nucleotide ribosomal RNA is filed under the name uncultured bacterium. Its description in RNAcentral is "bacterial SSU rRNA". It matches the Rfam family "Bacterial small subunit ribosomal RNA", at positions 917 to 1269 of the family's 1533-position model. The record is from RNAcentral.
GGACCCGCACAAGUAGUGGAGCAUGUGGUUUAAUUCGAAGAUACGCGCAGAACCUUACCAACACUUGACAUGUUCGUCGCGACUUUAAGAGAUUAAAGUUUUCGGUUCGGCCGGACGAAACACAGGUGCUGCAUGGCUGUCGUCAGCUCGUGUCGUGAGAUGUUGGUUAAGUCCCGCAACGAGCGCAACCCUCACUUUUAGUUGCCAUCAUUUAGUUGGGCACUCUGAAAGAACUGCCAGUGAUAAGCUGGAGGAAGGUGGGGAUGACGUCAAGUCCUCAUGGCCCUUACGUGUUGGGCUACACACGUGCUACAAUGGUAUCUACAACAGGAAGCAAGACUGCGAGGUCAAGCA